GUCUCCCUCCGGCACCAACAGGUUUCUAGAGCUCUCUGAGCUGCUUUUGUGUCGAAAAUGGACGGGGGGAACCCCCCCGCCUUGGGUGCCUGUGGCAGCUCCAGGUCACCCCUCCCAAUGCACACAGGCAGGGCUCAACUGUUUUGAGGGAAAACCUUCAAAACUGGUGAAAUUUCACCCCAAAUCUGGCGAAACCCACACUGGGCUCCGGCAAAGUGGUGUGAGGGCCAAGCCUGGAGCCAAGGGCGUUUUGCCAAGCGGGGGCUCAGCUUACAGACGGGCUACUGGCCCCUUGCCCAGGCAGCCGGCCGGGCUGGGGUACGGCCCCCAGACCCUCUGCCAGCCUGUGGGGACCCCCCCACGCGGUGCCAGCAGGGACCUGCAGCCGCCGUCCGGGUUUCCUUGGUGACUGUUGCCAGGUGAGAAACUCCGAGGCAGAAUUUAUUAUCUUGGUGGAUAAAUGGAGAUGCUCCUCGCCGGAGCUGUUACUGGACUGUGCCCUGACACCGUGCCAAGCUGGACCCUGGAGUGCCACCGCUGCUAGUGGGACCCCCCAACCCCGAGGGAGGGCCGUGCCCGGGAUGCUGGGGUUGCUCAGCCCCUGGCAUCCCUUCCCGGAAGGCAGCACGUGUUUUGGGGCUAUUUCUGCCCGGCGGAGCGUCGCAGGGUGAGGGCAGGAGGCAAAACCACAGGGAGCACGGAGCGGCACAGAUGGACGUGGGCUGGCGGGUUGCCCUGCCUUGGCUUCCCUAAAACCCGGCUCCGGUGGCUAACGAUAACCCCGGAUCAUAUGCGCUCCUAAAUCCCCAGAGCUAAUUACAGGCGAACGCCCCGCGCUCAGCCUGGAAAUGCAAGAUAAUUACAGCCUGUGCCACGGAGACCUGUUGGUCUGAACUGGGGCACCGGGGGUGGCUGCUGGUGGGUUGCCCGUGCCCCCCACCGCUGCACCAGCGACCAUGUUGCGAGCUAUUUUGGGCAAAGGAGGUUGUUUUUCUGGAGUUCUCUUCUCCCCCUCCCACCCCCUCUCCAUCGGUACCACCACCCUGGGGUGGAUGCAGAAGCAGGGGAGGAAGGGUGCAGGAAACAGGUUACUUUUCACCCAAUUUCUGGCCAGGUGCUUCCCAGCCGGAGCACAGGCGAAUCCACAGGAGAGGCUUGGAUUUCAGUGCCAGCUCCUCUGUCGGGUUUUGCUCUGCUCCCUGGUGCACAGGGAAGGUGCUGGCUGGCUCCCAGAGCUGGCUGAUGCCCCUGUGUUGGCUACAAGCCUUCCCCGGGCUCCGACAGUGGAUUUUCUGGGAGCAUUCCAGCGCUCCGGCUGCUUUUCCCCCAGCAAAGCCCGGGGGAAAGGAGAGUGUAACCCAUCCCUCCCGCCUGGCAGAGAUGCCCAGGGCAGGCGCAGUGGCAGCCUGGCAGGGUUAGCAACCUGUAUACUCUUACAGCAGGUGAGACCUACAGCGGGGGGGAAUGUUAAUUAAAAGUAAUUUUAACCCUUCCUGCCUGGUUUAGCAUUACAGCAUCACCCGCUGCCUGAGCUGGGAGAGUAGCCAGAGAGGUAUGACUUCAAAAUAUGUAAUUAUGGCAGCAAAGACCUAUAAACGCAGCGGAAGAAGGUCACUCUGGUUGGUUGUUAAAGAGUUUAAGCCGUGAGGCAGCAGUGGGGUGGCCCGUGACGGAGGGACCACAGCCCCGGCCGUGGGCUCAGCGCAGCCUCCAGCCCUGCCGGGAGGUGGAGAGGGAUGAGGUCCUCAGGCCAGACCCGGGUUUUUCUCCCAGCAGGAUAAAGGAGCGAAGCUGGAGGAGCAAACGGAGCGGCAAAAGCGGUCGCACGAUGAAGCAAAUGGAAAAAAAAUAUUUCCCCGACCAGAAACUAUUCCACAGGCUGCUGUGACAGGAAAAAAAUACAGCUGAGUUAUUGAGAAAGCAAUGCAAAAUCCAAA
Long non-coding RNA from Calidris pugnax (ruff), 1937 nucleotides. RefSeq lists it as uncharacterized. The transcript is spliced from 2 exons. Lineage: Eukaryota; Metazoa; Chordata; Aves; Charadriiformes; Scolopacidae. The record is from RefSeq and is a predicted model, not a curated record.